CCAGAAGUGUCGACAGGAGCGGGAAGAAGGUGCCAGUCCUUUGGCCCCAGGUGACCAAAGUACAGAAAGUAGAGGAAGAAAGUCUCCCUCCUUUAAUGCCACUCUCCUUCCUCCCCUCCAAUCCCCAGUAAAGUCUCGGGGCAACCUCUGCACACGGACCCCUCCAAGUGUCGUCAUCCACCCUGGAUCAUCAGACAGGCGCAGACACCGCCUGGGUCCUCCUCAGUCCACCUGGGGUGGGUACGCAGCCCUCCCUGCUGCCUCCUCCUUCUCUCCCGCUGAGGAGGGACUGCCACCCGCGGAGUCAGAGGCGGAGCAGAGGCUGGAGGUGCCCCGGCGCGAGAAGAGAGUAAACCUUUGGCAGGCAAGGGGUGUGGGUCCCACCGGGAGUCUUGGCCGCUCAUCUGGGCCCAGCCCGGUCCCCUGAGAUGGGUUCCGUCUCCUCAGCGCUGGCGCGGUCCCGGUCCCGCAACGCUGUGGUGCAGUUGGGCUCAUCGCCGCCACCCCAGCCCGAGGCGCCUCCGGCUGACCCCGCUGCUCGCGAAGACCGUUUCGCGCUGCACAAGACCGGGAGGCUUGGACCCGGGCGUGGAGAGGCGGCCACCCGGCCGGCAGCCUGGGAGGCUCAGCGGGUAGCGCCAAGCCCAGAGGGGCGCGCGAAGUUGGCGAGUCCGGAGCUGUCCCCGGUGCUGAACAGUGACGAGAGUAUGCCUCAGUCUCAGCUGUCUCGAAGCCCCAGCGCUGCGGAGACAGGAGCCGUGGAAGAAGAGCACCACAGCCCCAGGGAAACCGUGGAGAAACUUGAAGAUGCAGGAGAGCAAGGAUAGUUGCUCUACAAUAUUGUAUUCAUUUCUGCCAAACAUCAACAUGAAUCAGCUAUCAGAUCAGAUCAGUCGCUCAGUCGUGUCCGACUCUGUGCAACACCGUGAAUCGCAGCGCGCCAGGCCUCCCUGUCCAUCACCAACUCCCGGAGUUCACUGAGACUCACGUCAUCGAGUCAGUGAUGCCAUCCAGCCAUCUCAUCCUCUGUCGUCCCCUUCUCCUCCUGCCCCCAAUCCCUCCCAGCAUCAGAGUCUACCUAUGUCCCCUCCCUCUUGAACCUCCCUCCCCAUCCCACCCCUCUAGGUUGUUACAGAUCCCUGAUUUGAGUUCCCUGAGUCACACAGCAAAUCCUAUUGGUUAUUUAUUUUAUGUAUGGUAAUGUAUAUGUUUCCAUGUUACUUUCUAAAUACACCCCACCCGCUCCUUCCAGUAGAGCCCAGCACCCACCGUGUCCAUAAGUCUGUUCUCUAUGUCUGUGUCUCCACUGCUGCCCUGGAAAUAGGUUCAUCAAUACCGUGUUUCCAGAUGCCACAUAUAUGCGUUAAUGUAUGGUAUUUGGUUUUUCUUUCUGACUUACUUCACUCUGUAUAAUAGAGUGAAGUGUUCAUCCACCUCAUUAGAACUGACUCAAAUGCGUUCCUUUUUAUGGCUGAGUAAUAUUCCACUGUAUAUAUGUACCACAGCUUCUUUAUCCAUUCAUCUGUCAAUGGACAUCUAGCUUGCUUCCAUGUUUUAGCUA
This 1561-nucleotide long non-coding RNA is filed under the name Bos indicus x Bos taurus (hybrid cattle). Its description in RNAcentral is "lncRNA (ENSBIXG00000003284.1)". The record is from RNAcentral. Lineage: Eukaryota; Metazoa; Chordata; Mammalia; Artiodactyla; Bovidae.